UGGGGGAUAUUGCACAAUGGGCGAAAGCCCGAUGCAGCGACGCCGCGGGGGGGAUGAAGGCCUUCGGGUUGUAAACUUCUUUUGCUCUGAACAAGGCAUGCCUGUGGGGUGUGUUGAGUGUAGGGGGUGAUUAGCGCCGGCUAACUACGUGCCAGCAGCCGCGGUAAUACGUAGGGCGCGAGCGUUGUCCGGAAUUAUUGGGCGUAAAGGGCUUGUAGGUGGCUGGUUGCGUCUGUCGUGAAAGCUCAUGGCUUAACUGUGGGUUUGCGGUGGGUACGGGCUGGCUUGGGUGCAGUAGGGGAGGCUGGAAUUCCUGGUGUAGCGGUGGAAUGCGCAGAUAUCAGGAGGAAUACCGGUGGCGAAGGCGGGUCUCUGGGCUGUUACUGACGCUGAGGAGCGAAAGCGUGGGGAGCGAACAGG
This 420-nucleotide ribosomal RNA is filed under the name Fusobacteriota bacterium. RNAcentral's name for it is "Fusobacteria bacterium partial 16S ribosomal RNA". It matches the Rfam family "Bacterial small subunit ribosomal RNA", at positions 355 to 776 of the family's 1533-position model. The record is from RNAcentral. Lineage: Bacteria; Fusobacteriati; Fusobacteriota.